RNAcentral lists this transfer RNA (73 nucleotides) under Marmota monax (woodchuck). RNAcentral's name for it is "tRNA.Ala". It matches the Rfam family "tRNA". From Rfam's summary of the family: Transfer RNA (tRNA) molecules are approximately 80 nucleotides in length. Their secondary structure includes four short double-helical elements and three loops (D, anti-codon, and T loops). The record is from RNAcentral. Lineage: Eukaryota; Metazoa; Chordata; Mammalia; Rodentia; Sciuridae.
UGGGGUUGUGGCUCAGUGGUAUAGCGCUUGCCUAGCAGGCAUGAGGCACUGGGUUUGAUCCUCAGCACCACAA